UCCUCUCACCCCUCCCUCUUCCUUUGAAGCAUUGGAUGCAGAUAUACCUCUGCUUGUUCCAGCCUUAGGCACAUGCCUGAACUCAUCAGGAUAAGGUGGCCUGUUGUUUCUAUGGUAAUGGAAGCUGGCCUAUUUGGGCGAAUGGGGCGCUGCGCUGCCCCACCAACCUCAGUCUGCCCUCAGUGAAUGCCCACAUGUCUGUCUUCUUACCUGCAAUCUGCCCAGGGGUGCCACUGGCUGUCAGCCACCUCCUCCUGGGUCUCAGCACUGCCUUUACAGAACUAAAUGAGGAUCAGCAUGGGGACAAACCUAGAAUUGCUUCCGUCUGUCAUGGGCUCUGGCUACUGUUGGCCUCCCUGUUUUUACCAAUCUCAAUUCACAAGUUUGUUGCUUGUCAAUCUGUACAUUUUGACCAAAUUGUAUUUGCACUGUUGGUAUGAAAGUGAGUGACAAAAUGCUAAUACACUAUUGGAUCUUC
Molecule: non-coding RNA, 478 nt
Organism: Podarcis muralis (Common wall lizard)
Lineage: Eukaryota; Metazoa; Chordata; Lepidosauria; Squamata; Lacertidae
Source: RefSeq, a predicted model, not a curated record